Ictalurus punctatus (channel catfish) is the source of this 1326-nucleotide long non-coding RNA. RefSeq lists it as uncharacterized. The transcript has 3 exons. The record is from RefSeq and is a predicted model, not a curated record. Lineage: Eukaryota; Metazoa; Chordata; Actinopteri; Siluriformes; Ictaluridae.
GCCAGUAUGGGAACAGUUCCAUCACUCCACUCGCCUGACCGGUUAUAUAAAUACCUGGAAGAACAGAGGAGAGAGAGCGAGAGAGAGAAACAUGGUUCAUCAUUACACACUAUGCUGGGAACUGAAAGAAAAAUUGCAGCUUGGUACUGAGAAAGCACAAAACGUAAAGCUUUCCCGUCUUCAAGACUUUCAUAUGGUUGGAAAACAUAACGUUACAGCUUUACCUCCGACUGUUACAAAGCACUGACGCUGGAGACUCCUUCCAAAAAAAUGAGCUUCCUGAGCAAACAGCAAAGCAGGGCCAUCUGUCAGAAGGAGCAAGACGACAGGUAGCCAUCUGGACCAGCUUCUACUCAGCAGGAGACAUGGAACACACUGGUCCAAAAUACACCUCGUAAAGGUUUCAAGGACGGGGAAAUAGUACUAAUGUUUACUGUUUUCUUAAUUCGUUAAAUUAAAGAAUAUAUAUUUAGGACCCUUCGUUCAUCUAGUCACCUCAAUGUUUCUGAAAUUUACUACACAAAAAAAAAAAAAAAUCCUAAUUUGGUUGGUUUUGAGAUUCUUCAUCGUUACGGCUGUGACAUUCGAUUCCUAUUGACCGUAAAGUCUCCUCACAGCCUUCCCAAGCUCAGCGUCGUCAUGUGACCUUCCAGGAAAAACAAGAAAUGUUCAAUAUUAGCAACGUGAAGCAGUUUUUCAGCCUCCGAUAAACAGGCGAGUUUUGUGACCGGACACAUUUUAAUGCGCUCGCACGUCGCAGAAGAAAAUGAUAUCUGUUAAAGCCCCUCCCAAUUACGAGUUAAGACAAUUGAUCAAAUUUGACAAGUAAUACCUCUGGAUAUUUGACUGUUACAUUUUUUGCAGAUCUAACAGAAAUAAAAUGUAAAAAACUAAAUAAACAGUUAAAUAAAGAUAUUGAAAUACAGCAAGUUAAUUGUAUUUUUUUUUUUUUUUUUUUCCUGUGCUCAGAGCUUUAAACUCCAACACUACUGUAAGAUGUUGUACCUCUGGGGAAUUUUAGCCAAUUCGUGAAGAAAAUCCAUCCUGAUCCAAUCAUCUGAGACGGUCAAUUGUACAAAGCACCAAAAAAAACCACCGUCCCCUACGUUUUUCAGUCUAAUGAUGAUAUGAGGGCGAACUUUGAUACAAAUGGACAAGCAUGUAACUAGUGGUGUGUGUGUGUGUGUGUGUUCUUUAACAGUGGGCAAAUAUGGACACUCACAGGACUGACAGUAAUAACAGAUUCCACACAGAUAAUAAAGAAUCGCAGUUUCCUUCACGAUGAACACCGAGAACACCGAUUAUUUUUAUAGGCGGAAAAGACGA